GUGGGUACAGCUCAGUGGUAGAGCAUGUGCUUAGCAUAUGUGAGGUCCUGGGUUCAAUUCCCAGUACCUCCA
Molecule: transfer RNA, 72 nt
Filed under: Camelus bactrianus (Bactrian camel)
Lineage: Eukaryota; Metazoa; Chordata; Mammalia; Artiodactyla; Camelidae
Also listed under: 2 other names
Rfam family: tRNA
About the family: Transfer RNA (tRNA) molecules are approximately 80 nucleotides in length.
Source: Rfam by way of RNAcentral